CAAAGCCAUCCGGCAGCGAUUCGUCGCUCGCCGUAAAGUUUGGUGAAUCUGAGUAACCAUAGCGAACCGCACGGCCCAGCGCCGGCGGUCUGUCGGUCAAGCAACUGCCUUAUCAGCUUGUCGUUAGGUUACGUGCCUAACGAGGCGUCGACGGGUAACGAACGAUCGGGGUCUGACAUCGGAGAGGGAGCCUGAGAAACGGCUACCACAUCCAAGGAAGGCAGCAGGCGCGCAAAUUACCCACUCCCGGCACGGGGAGGUARUGACGAGAAAUAACGCUGCGGGGCACUGAUGUGUUCUCGCAAGCGCAAUGAGAACGCUUUAAAGCCUCUAACGAGUACCAACUGGAGGGCAAGUCUGGUGCCAGCAGCCGCGGUAAUUCCAGCUCCAGUAGCKUAUACUAAUGCUGCUGCGGUUAAAACGCUCGUAGUCGAAUUUGGGUGGCCGGCGGGCUCCCCGUGCCKCAAAGCGGUGCGWGAGGUGGCUGUAAGCAUCCUUCUGGUUGMGAGCCGCCSCAUGUKCGGYCACAAGGCCSYYUWGMGUUGMRCGCCWGCAMCAACUGUCGUGUGGUGCRUG
This 576-nucleotide ribosomal RNA is filed under the name uncultured eukaryote. RNAcentral describes it as "partial 18S ribosomal RNA". It matches the Rfam family "Eukaryotic small subunit ribosomal RNA", at positions 219 to 756 of the family's 1831-position model. The record is from RNAcentral.